AUACGGAGGGUGCAAGCGUUAAUCGGAAUUACUGGGCGUAAAGCGUACGUAGGCGGUUCGUUAAGUUAGAUGUGAAAGCCCCGGGCUUAACCUGGGAACUGCAUUUAAAACUGGCGGACUAGAGUUGAGUAGAGGGGAGUGGAAUUUCAGGUGUAGCGGUGAAAUGCGUAGAGAUCUGAAGGAACACCAGUGGCGAAGGCGACUCCCUGGACUCGAACUGACGCUGAGGUACGAAAGCGUGGGUAGCAAACAGGAUUAGAUACCCUUGUAGUCC
Molecule: ribosomal RNA, 274 nt
Filed under: uncultured bacterium
Lineage: Bacteria
Description: partial 16S ribosomal RNA
Rfam family: Bacterial small subunit ribosomal RNA
Source: RNAcentral